GAUGAACGCUGGCGGCGUGCCUAAUACAUGCAAGUCGAGCGAACGGACGAGAAGCUUGCUUCUCUGAUGUUAGCGGCGGACGGGUGAGUAACACGUGGAUAACCUACCUAUAAGACUGGGAUAACUUCGGGAAACCGGAGCUAAUACCGGAUGAUAUUUUGAACCGCAUGGUUCAAAAGUGAAAGACGGUCUUGCUGUCACUUAUAGAUGGAUCCGCGCUGCAUUAGCUAGUUGGUAAGGUAACGGCUUACCAAGGCAACGAUGCAUAGCCGACCUGAGAGGGUGAUCGACCACACUGGAACUGAGACACGGUCCAGACUCCUACGGGAGGCAGCAGUAGGGAAUCUUCCGCAAUGGGCGAAAGCCUGACGGAGCAACGCCGCGUGAGUGAUGAAGGUCUUCGGAUCGUAAAACUCUGUUAUUAGGGAAGAACAUAUGUGUAAGUAACUGUGCACAUCUUGACGGUACCUAAUCAGAAAGCCACGGCUAACUACGUG
This 497-nucleotide ribosomal RNA is filed under the name uncultured bacterium. RNAcentral's name for it is "partial 16S ribosomal RNA". It matches the Rfam family "Bacterial small subunit ribosomal RNA", at positions 28 to 507 of the family's 1533-position model. The record is from RNAcentral.